RNAcentral lists this ribosomal RNA (480 nucleotides) under Pseudopsilopteryx zimmeri. RNAcentral describes it as "partial large subunit ribosomal RNA". The stretch from base 321 to 479 matches the Rfam family "Bacterial large subunit ribosomal RNA", at positions 2473 to 2632 of the family's 2925-position model. The record is from RNAcentral. Lineage: Eukaryota; Metazoa; Arthropoda; Insecta; Trichoptera; Limnephilidae.
AAGGUAGCAUAAUAAUUAGGUUUUUGAUUGAAAUCUAGAAUGAAUGAUUGGACGAGAUGCGGGCUGUUUUAAAAUAAUUAAUUAAAACUUAAUUUUUUAGUCAAAAAGCUAAAAUUUUAUUAAAAGACGAGAAGACCCUAUAAAUCUUUAUAAUAAAUUUAUUUUUAUAGGUUAUUUCAUUUAAAUUAAUUAUUUAAAUAUUAAAUUAUUUUAUUGGGGUGAUACAAAAAUUUAAUAAACUUUUUUAAAUAAACUACUAAAAUUAAAGAUUUUUAAAUAAUGAUCUAUUAUUAAUAACUCAAAGAAUAAGAUACUUUAGGGAUAACAGCGUAAUUUUAAUUUUAAGUUCUUAUUAAAAUUAAAGAUUGCGACCUCGAUGUUGGAUUAAAAUUUAAUUUAAAUGCAAAGGUUUAAAAAUUAAGUCUGUUCGACUUUUAAAAUUUUACAUGAUCUGAGUUCAAACCGGUGUGAGCCAGGUUG